CCUACGGGAGGCAGCAGUAGGGAAUAUUGCUCAAUGGGGGAAACCCUGAAGCAGCAACGCCGCGUGGAGGAUGAAGGUUUUAGGAUUGUAAACUCCUUUUGUGAGAGAAGAUAAUGACGGUAUCUCACGAAUAAGCACCGGCUAACUACGAGACAGAAGCCGCGGGAAUACGGAGGGUGCAAGCGUUACUCGGAAUCACUGGGCGUAAAGGGUGCGGAGGCGGGCUUGUAAGUCAGCUGUGAAAUCCUGGAGCCUAAAUACAGAACUGCAGUUGAAACUCUGAGUCUAGAGUGUGGGAGAGGUAGGUGGAAUGCUUGGUGUAGGGGUAAAAUCCGUAGAUAUCAAGCGGAACUCUCAUUGCGAAGGCGGCCUACUGGAGCGUUACUGACGCUCAUGCACGAAAGCGUGGGGAUCGAACAGGAUUAGAUACCCCUGUAGUC
This 440-nucleotide ribosomal RNA is filed under the name uncultured bacterium. Its description in RNAcentral is "partial 16S ribosomal RNA". It matches the Rfam family "Bacterial small subunit ribosomal RNA", at positions 338 to 795 of the family's 1533-position model. The record is from RNAcentral.